UUGUUCACCUCAGCAGCACAUAUACUAAAAUGGGAACAACACAGAGAAGAUUGACAAGACCCCACACAAGGAUGACACAUAAAGUCAGGAGCGUUCCAUAUUUGA
Molecule: small nuclear RNA, 105 nt
Organism: Erinaceus europaeus (western European hedgehog)
Lineage: Eukaryota; Metazoa; Chordata; Mammalia; Eulipotyphla; Erinaceidae
Source: Ensembl